CCUACGGGAGGCAGCAGUGAGGAAUAUUGGUCAAUGGGCGAGAGCCUGAACCAGCCAAGUCGCGUGAGGGAAGACGGCCCUAUGGAUUGUAAACCUCUUUUAUCUGGGAGUAAAAUGCGGUAUGUGUACUGCUUUGUGAGUACCCUGUGAAUAAGGAUCGGCUAACUCCGUGCCAGCAGCCGCGGUAAUACGGAGGAUGCGAGCGUUAUCCGGAUUUAUUGGGUUUAAAGGGAGCGUAGGCGGCCGGUUAAGUCAGGGGUGAAAGUUUGGGGCUCAACCGGGACAUGGCAGUUGAUACUGGGUGGCUAGAGUGAGGGAGAGGGAGGCGGAAUGCGUGGUGUAGCGGUGAAAUGCAUAGAUAUCACGAAGAACUCCGAUGGCGAAGGCAGCUUACUGGACUGUAACUGACGCUGAGGCUCGAAAGCGUGGGUAUCGAACAGGAUUAGAUACCCUUGUAGUC
Molecule: ribosomal RNA, 460 nt
Filed under: uncultured bacterium
Lineage: Bacteria
Description: partial 16S ribosomal RNA
Rfam family: Bacterial small subunit ribosomal RNA
Source: RNAcentral